RNAcentral lists this ribosomal RNA (348 nucleotides) under uncultured eukaryote. RNAcentral's name for it is "SSU rRNA". It matches the Rfam family "Eukaryotic small subunit ribosomal RNA", at positions 594 to 945 of the family's 1831-position model. The record is from RNAcentral.
AUAGCGUAUAUUAAAGUUGUUGCAGUUAAAAAGCUCGUAGUUGAACUUCAGCCUCUUGGCCGGGCGGUCUGCCUCACGGUAUGUACUGUCUGCCUGGGUCUUACUUCUUGGUGAGCCGGCAUGCCCUUUACUGGGUGUGUUGGGGAACCAGGACUUUUACCUUGAGAAAAUUAGAGUGUUCAAAGCAGGCCUAUGCCCGAAUACAUUAGCAUGGAAUAAUAAAAUAGGACGUGCGGUUCUAUUUUGUUGGUUUCUAGAGUCGCCGUAAUGAUUAAUAGGGAUAGUUGGGGGCAUUAGUAUUCAGUUGCUAGAGGUGAAAUUCUUGGAUUUACUGAAGACUAACUACUG